UGGGGAAUAUUGGACAAUGGGCGAAAGCCUGAUCCAGCCAUGCCGCGUGUGUGAAGAAGGUCUUCGGAUUGUAAAGCACUUUAAGUUGGGAGGAAGGGCAGUAAGCGAAUACCUUGCUGUUUUGACGUUACCGACAGAAUAAGCACCGGCUAACUCUGUGCCAGCAGCCGCGGUAAUACAGAGGGGGCAAGCGUUAAUCGGAAUUACUGGGCGUAAAGUGCGCGUAGGUGGUUCGUUAAGUUGAAUGUGAAAGCCCCGGGCUCAACCUGGGAACAGCAUCUAAAACUGGCGAGCUAGAGUAGGGCAGAGGGUGGUGGAAUUUCCUGUGUAGCGGUGAAAUGCGUAGAUAUAGGAAGGGGCACCAGUGGCGAAGGCGACCACCUGGGCUCAUACUGACACUGAGGUGCGAAAGCGUGGGGAGCAAACAGG
Molecule: ribosomal RNA, 429 nt
Filed under: Pseudomonadota bacterium
Lineage: Bacteria; Pseudomonadati; Pseudomonadota
Description: Proteobacteria bacterium partial 16S ribosomal RNA
Rfam family: Bacterial small subunit ribosomal RNA
Source: RNAcentral